UCGAAAUUCUUGAACGAAUGUUCUCACGACUCCCGAAGAAAUUCUCCUAGAACUCUUGAAUGAAAACUCAAAGGAUACUAGAAGGAUUCGUCCCAGUUAUCACGAUAAUAUCCUUACAGAAAUUGUGAAAGAAUACUUUCAUUAAUCUCAAAAAAUAACAGCUGGUAUCCACUUUGAAUCAUUUUAUUGUCAGAAAUCGUAAAUUCCAAAAGAAAACCAUUCAUAGAAGUCAGUAGGGAAUCCCUUAUGAAAAAAGGAUUCCCUCUCGAAUUCGGUAUGGAUCCCAAAAGGAUUCUAGAAACAAAACCGAAAGGAUUGGCCUUAUUUGAUAAAGUUUUUCAGGCCGUGAAUUCCUUUAUUGACCGUAGAUAUUUAGUUUUAAUUUCAUAACGAAUUGAAUAAUCAAUACAUGCACCUAGGAUUAUUUUUAUUUAGGCUUUAUCAGUAUUGUCAGUCUCAUCAUCUCAAAUCAUCAUCGGGGAACUAGGCAUUCCGGAAAGUUGGAUCUUCUGAACCAAAAGGAUAAGGACUGGAUUGGAAGAAUUGAAACCAAAAGGAUAAGGGCACGGUUUUCGCUGAAAGCCGAUCAACGGUCCCAAGCACACGAUGUUAUCAUUUAGCAUAUCGCGACGUAUUAUGUGAUCAAUUAUGACCUUCUCUAUCUUAUGUUAUUGCUGGAGGAAUUCGAGGAUGCCAAACAAAUUUCCUAUCAAUCUAGUAUCAAGGGUUUUAGAUUUCGACCAGAGGUUAUAGAGCUAAAUGAGAAAUUUAUCCUCCGGUACACUUUUGACGAAGAUGAUCGAGGUUCGUCUUGAAGAGCUGGAACCCAAGUUGCUCGACUUUAAUAAUAAAAAGGACCCCCAUUCCGUUCACGCAGGAUCCCCGCAUCAACAGACCUAUGUGCUGAUAAGAAGCUAACUGGAAAGCUGUCCUUUCCGCAGCAUGAAAGAAUUCAUAAUGGGAUCUAAAAUAGAUUCCAUAAUAUGUGAUUUCGAAUGAGUAGCCUUAUUGAUUUCCAUUCGAAAGCCUGUCGGUAUUCUAUUGUGAAUCCACAUAGGUUUUUUUUCGGAAUCCUUAAGAGAUUUCAUUCGAAAUAUUUUCGGGUCUCCAUUCAUUCGUAAUUCUUCAGGGAUUAAAUUCAAAAAUCUUUAGCGAUUCCAUGCAUAAUUUAAUUGUAAUCCUUAUGAAUUUCGAUUAGGAUUCCACACAAUCAUUCGGGGUCCGAAAAUCAAAAUCUGUUGGGGGAUUCCAUUUAAAAUCCCCUCGGGAAUCCAUUCGAAACAUGUUCGGAAUUCCAUUCAUAAUCCGUUCGAAGUUCUACACUUUGAGCACUUUUUGUGGAAUUUUGAAAGUAGUAUCCCGCGAUGAUUUCGAAUAGAAUACCAAAGGAACUCUAAAAGGAUACCGAAUAGAAUCCCUAUAGAAUUGCGAAUGGAAUCCCAAAAAUGGUUUCGAACGGAAUUCCUAAAGAAUUACGAAUUUUAUCCCCGAAACAUUACCGAUGGAAUUCCAAAUAAAAAACCGAGCGACGAAAGGUUUCCUAAGGGAUUCGGAGUAAUAUCUCGAAUGGAUUCCACAUGUGAUUCCAAAAACAAAAAUUGAGCCGAGCCCGGAAAGAAUUCCGAGUGGAAUCAAUUCAAGACCUCACUCAGAAUCUUUCCGAAAGAAGA
Molecule: long non-coding RNA, 1670 nt
Organism: Armigeres subalbatus
Lineage: Eukaryota; Metazoa; Arthropoda; Insecta; Diptera; Culicidae
Exons: 3
Source: RefSeq, a predicted model, not a curated record